Molecule: transfer RNA, 70 nt
Filed under: Rattus norvegicus (Norway rat)
Lineage: Eukaryota; Metazoa; Chordata; Mammalia; Rodentia; Muridae
Rfam family: tRNA
About the family: Transfer RNA (tRNA) molecules are approximately 80 nucleotides in length. Their secondary structure includes four short double-helical elements and three loops (D, anti-codon, and T loops). Further hydrogen bonds mediate the characteristic L-shaped molecular structure. tRNAs have two regions of fundamental functional importance: the anti-codon, which is responsible for specific mRNA codon recognition, and the 3' end, to which the tRNAs corresponding amino acid is attached (by aminoacyl-tRNA synthetases). tRNAs cope with the degeneracy of the genetic code in two manners: having more than one tRNA (with a specific anti-codon) for a particular amino acid; and 'wobble' base-pairing, i.e. permitting non-standard base-pairing at the 3rd anti-codon position.
Source: Rfam by way of RNAcentral
GGGAAUUUAGCUCAGUGGUAGAGCGCUUGCCUAGGAAGCGCAAGGCCCUGGGUUCGGUCCCCAGCUCCUA